GCACGCGCAGCCCAGCUGUGCGUGUAGCACGUUUGGCACAUCAGGCAGAGAGCUGCAGAAGUGAAGCCCUCCCUCCUCUCCAGAAGCGUUUGUCUUGUGUUGAGAAGACCAUUAUUGGAAAAUGAAACAACAUGAAACGGAUGAGGUGGAAGAAGAAGAGGAGGAGGAAGCAGCUUUCCACAACCCACCUCAACAAAGAGAUGCCCUACAUGCUGCUGGUGUGCAAACCAGGCACCAAAUCAUUCACUCUGUUUUUGGUUAAUGUUUUUUUUGCAUCAAAUUGAUUUUUUCAUCCACCACACAGCAUCCCCCCUUUCUUUGUGUGUACACAUUUCUUUCAACCCAAUAACAUUUUUUUGCAGUUGUGCACACAGUUUAUUUGUCAUUUGUACCCAGUGACAUUUGUAAAGUCCUUUCACUUGGAUGCUGAAACCCCCCAGUCAUUACCUUAUUUUUCACGUUCUUAAAUGAUCUAAAUGUUUAAUAGGGAAAAGGUUGUGUCAGAAUAUUUACCCGAUCUAGUGCUGUGUACCUAUAGUAUGUGUGAUGUGCUAUUUGUACUCAUAAAUUACUUUUUGCAUGCAUAUAUGAUACACAGCGUUAAGCUCUUGGUCAAAAUUGAUGAUGUGGGAUUAUAUGUACAUGAAAAAAAGUGUCAUACUCAGAAAUUGCCUUUUGCGUGCAUAGAAAAAUACCCCAAAUGAAAACAAUGUAAAAUUGUUCCACUGAUGCUUUUAUGACAUCGGGCUUGCAGUGAUGUAAAGUAUUGGAGUAAAUGUAAUUAGUUACUGUACUUAAGUAUCUUUUUGGCUACUUUGUAGUUGUACUGAGUAUUAAAGAUAUUAAGACUUUUACUCUCUACUUGACUACAUUUUUGAACAAGUAUAUGUACUCUUUACUCCACUAUAUUUGUAAUGACUAAUGCAAUUACACAUUACACUUCACCUGGUACCCAUCAUUCUUUUGCGGCAGUUUAUUUUUGAUACAGAAGAAUUAAUAUGGCCAUUUACAGGGCAUUGAAGGUACUAUAUCUUGUGGGUUUUGCUCUUACUUACUAAAACUUGUCAACAUGGCUUCUUUAUGUGAAUACGAGUGCAGUAUCAGGUAGGGUUAGGAUAGGGUUAUCAAUGUCAAUCGCUGGCGGUUUAUAUGUGAAAUGAGGACAUGACUGCAGCUGAUGAUGAGGCCAAAACCAGCAUGUCCAGUGCAAAAAGGCUUUGACUUUUUAAUUUGACUGAACAUUAUUUUAUUUAUCCGUUAUAUUGAAGAAACCUUUUGAAAGAGUUUGGUUUAU
This is a long non-coding RNA of Triplophysa rosa, 1294 nucleotides long. RefSeq lists it as uncharacterized. The record is from RefSeq and is a predicted model, not a curated record. The transcript is spliced from 3 exons. NCBI's taxonomy places the organism in Eukaryota, Metazoa, Chordata, Actinopteri, Cypriniformes, Nemacheilidae.